Molecule: long non-coding RNA, 170 nt
Organism: Hyalella azteca
Lineage: Eukaryota; Metazoa; Arthropoda; Malacostraca; Amphipoda; Hyalellidae
Exons: 3
Source: RefSeq, a predicted model, not a curated record
GACGAGGAGCUCACGAGGCCGAACACCGGCCUCGUCCUGGCAGCUCAGCGUCCGCGGUCGCUGACGCUCGGCAAAUUUGGAACCAUCGGCCGUAGUUCUUUCCUGAACACGCUGGCGUUCAUGAUGUCGUAUGUGGUGACGACCAUCCAGUUCUACUACGCCGCGCCUCC